Molecule: ribosomal RNA, 492 nt
Filed under: uncultured bacterium
Lineage: Bacteria
Description: partial 16S ribosomal RNA
Rfam family: Bacterial small subunit ribosomal RNA
Source: RNAcentral
AGUGAACGCUGGCGGUAGGCCUAACACAUGCAAGUCGAACGGCAGCACAGUAAGAGCUUGCUCUUACGGGUGGCGAGUGGCGGACGGGUGAGGAAUACAUCGGAAUCUACUUUUUCGUGGGGGAUAACGUAGGGAAACUUACGCUAAUACCGCAUACGACCUACGGGUGAAAGCAGGGGAUCUUCGGACCUUGCGCGAUUGAAUGAGCCGAUGUCGGAUUAGCUAGUUGGCGGGGUAAAUGCCCACCAAGGCGACGAUCCGUAGCUGGUCUGAGAGGAUGAUCAGCCACACUGGAACUGAGCCACGGUCCAGACUCCUACGGGAGGCAGCAGUGGGGAAUAUUGGACAAUGGGCGCAAGCCUGAUCCAGCCAUCCCGCGUGGGUGAAGAAGGCCUUCGGGUUGUAAAGCCCUUUUGUUGUGAAAGAAAAGCAGCAGGUUAAUACCCCGCUGUUCUGACGGUACCCAAAGAAUAAGCACCGGCUAACUUCGUG